Molecule: ribosomal RNA, 459 nt
Filed under: uncultured bacterium
Lineage: Bacteria
Description: SSU rRNA
Rfam family: Bacterial small subunit ribosomal RNA
Source: RNAcentral
AGAAUCAACGCUGGCGGCGCGCUUAACACAUGCAAGUCGCACGAGAAAGGGGAGCAAUCCCUGAGUAAAGUGGCGCACGGGUGAGUAACACGUGGGUCAUCCACACUUCAGUGGGGAAUAACCCUGGGAAACCGGGGCUAAUACCGCAUACGCCUGAGAAGGGAAAGCAGCAAUGCGCUGGAGAAGGAGCCCGCGGCCGAUUAGCUAGUUGGUGGGGUAACGGCUCACCAAGGCGACGAUCGGUAGCCGGCCUGAGAGGGCACACGGCCACACUGGCACUGAAACACGGGCCAGACUCCUACGGGAGGCAGCAGUGGGGAAUCUUGCACAAUGGAGGAAACUCUGAUGCAGCGACGCCGCGUGAGCGAUGAAGCCCUUCGGGGUGUAAAGCUCUUUCGACGGGAACGAUAAUGACGGUACCCGGAGAAGAAGCUGCGGCUACUACGUGCCAGCAGCCGC